This is an RNA transcript of Canis lupus familiaris (dog), 797 nucleotides long. It is a transcript of the gene named DnaJ heat shock protein family (Hsp40) member C15, with no coding region annotated. The record is from RefSeq and is a predicted model, not a curated record. Lineage: Eukaryota; Metazoa; Chordata; Mammalia; Carnivora; Canidae. The transcript is spliced from 7 exons.
CCGCCCCUUCCGCCGCGCGGCGUCCCGUCGCCAUGGCUGCCCGCGGUGGUGUCGCCGCUGCCGGCGAGAGUCUGCGCUACGCCGAGUACUCGCCUCCGGCGACCCGACGGCCGGACGCCGACCUGGACAAGGGGCUGGCAAGAAAUUUGAUAGCUAUAGGACUGGGUGUUGCAGCUGUUGCAUUUGCAGGUCGCUAUGCAUUUCAGUUCUGGAAACCUCUAGAACAAGUAAUCACAGAAACGACAAAGAAGAUUUCUACUCCUAGCCUUUCAUCCUACUAUAAAGGAGGAUUUGAACAGAAAAUGAGUAGGCGAGAAGCUAGUCUUAUUUUGGGUAUAAGCCCAUCUGCUGGCAAGGCUAAGAUUAGAACAGCUCAUAGGAGAAUUAUGAUUUUGAAUCAUCCAGAUAAAGUUUGAGGGACACCGAUCUGAUCAAUGCUGCCUGCUAAAUCAAGACUGUUUCUACUCUAUCCUGGGGAAAAUAUCCUGUUCACUGCCCUUGAAGAUUUUUAGUGAUGGAUAGCUUCCUGCUUUUACAAGAAGCCCAAUGGUGGAUCUCCUUACUUAGCAACCAAAAUAAAUGAAGCAAAAGACUUGCUAGAAGCAACCACCAAACAUUGAUUGAUGCCCAAGAAUCACUCUGAAGGAAAAGAUGGGGGAAUUUAAAACAAAAAAGUCCAGCAAAUUAAACUAUGGUAUUCAUGAUUUUCAUACAUCUACUGGCCACAAUAAUUUAUUCCACUAUUAAGGCAUAUAAUAAUAAAAGAUUAACAGUCUGUCUUUUUAUUAUCUUUUAAA